This 543-nucleotide ribosomal RNA is filed under the name uncultured Thalassolituus sp. RNAcentral's name for it is "bacterial SSU rRNA". It matches the Rfam family "Bacterial small subunit ribosomal RNA", at positions 64 to 597 of the family's 1533-position model. The record is from RNAcentral. Lineage: Bacteria; Pseudomonadati; Pseudomonadota; Gammaproteobacteria; Oceanospirillales; Oceanospirillaceae.
GAGCGGUAGCACAGAGAGCUUGCUCUCGGGUGACAAGCGGCGGACGGGUGAGUAACGCGUAGGAAUCUACCUAGUAGUGGGGGACAACAGUUGGAAACGACUGCUAAUACCGCAUACGCCCUAAGGGGGAAAGCGGGGGAUCUUCGGACCUCGUGCUAUUAGAUGAGCCUGCGUGAGAUUAGCUAGUUGGUGAGGUAAAGGCUCACCAAGGCGACGAUCUCUAGCUGGUCUGAGAGGAUGAUCAGCCACACUGGGACUGAGACACGGCCCAGACUCCUACGGGAGGCAGCAGUGGGGAAUAUUGGACAAUGGGCGCAAGCCUGAUCCAGCCAUGCCGCGUGUGUGAAGAAGGCCUUCGGGUUGUAAAGCACUUUCAGAAGGGAGGAAAGGUUGUGUGUUAAUAGCACAUAGCUGUGACGUUACCUUCAGAAGAAGCACCGGCUAACUCCGUGCCAGCAGCCGCGGUAAUACGGAGGGUGGCGAGCGUUGUUCGGAUUUAUUGGGCGUAAAGGGUCCGUAGGCGGUCUGCUAAGUCUGAUGUGA